AGAGUUUGAUCCUGGCUCAGAACGAACGUUGGCGGCGUGGAUUAGGCAUGCAAGUCGAACGAGAAAACACCCUUCGGGGUGCGAGUAAAGUGGCGAACGGGUGAGUAACGCGUGGGGAACCUACCCUUGAGUGGGGGAUAACGCUCCUAACGGGGCGCUAAUACCGCAUGACACCGGAGGCAGGCAUCUGCUUCCGGUCGAAGAUGGCCUCUGAAUGUAAGCUGUCGCUUAAGGAUGGCCCCGCGUCCGAUUAGCUUGUUGGUGGUGUAACGGCCCACCAAGGCGACGACCGGUAGCCGGCCUGAGAGGGUGUCCGGCCACACUGGGACUGAGAUACGGCCCAGACUCCUACGGGAGGCAGCAGUCGAGAGGCUUCCACAAUGGGGGAAACCCUGAUGGAGCGACGCCGCGUGGGUGAGGAAGGUCUUCGGAUCGUAAAACCCUGUCAGGAGGGAAGAAAACCGGAUUGGUUAAUAACCUUUCCGCUUGACGGUACCUCCAGAGGAAGCUCCGGCUAACUCCGUGCCAGCAGCCGCGGUAACACGGAGGGAGCAAACGUUGUUCGGAAUCACUGGGCGUAAAGGGCGCGUAGGCGGCUUCUUGAGUCGAGGGUGAAAACCUAUGGCUUAACCAUAGGCCUGCCCCCGAAACUGAGGAGCUUGAGGCCGUAAGAGGAAAGCGGAAUUCCUGGUGUAUCGGUGAAAUGAGUUGAUAUCAGGAGGAACACCGGUGGCGAAGGCGGCUUUCUGGUGCGGUUCUGACGCUGAGGUGCGAAAGCAUGGGGAGCAAACGGGAUUAGAUACCCCGGUAGUCCAUGCCGUAAACGAUGAGAACUAGGUGUCGGGGGAUCAACCCCCUCGGUGCCGCAGCUAACGCAUUAAGUUCUCCGCCUGGGGAGUACGGUCGCAAGGCUGAAACUCAAAGGAAUUGACGG
This 934-nucleotide ribosomal RNA is filed under the name uncultured delta proteobacterium. RNAcentral describes it as "bacterial SSU rRNA". It matches the Rfam family "Bacterial small subunit ribosomal RNA", at positions 8 to 916 of the family's 1533-position model. Lineage: Bacteria; Deltaproteobacteria. The record is from RNAcentral.